GCCGAAAUAGCUCAGUUGGGAGAGCGUCAGACUGAAGAUCUGA
This is a non-coding RNA of Nematostella vectensis (starlet sea anemone), 43 nucleotides long. The record is from Rfam. NCBI's taxonomy places the organism in Eukaryota, Metazoa, Cnidaria, Anthozoa, Actiniaria, Edwardsiidae.